This is a long non-coding RNA of Amphiprion ocellaris (clown anemonefish), 692 nucleotides long. Lineage: Eukaryota; Metazoa; Chordata; Actinopteri; Pomacentridae. The record is from Ensembl.
UGAAUGAGUAGAUAGGACACGCCCCUUUGAGCUGCGUGCUACAGCGAGGCUAAGCUAGUGGGGGCAAAGUUUCAGUGCAUUCCGUUGAUGUAGACGGCGUGAAAACGUAAAGAACAAGUAUGCCGGCUCACUGUGCUGCAUACAGUUACACACUACGUCGUACGAUUGAGACAAGGAAACUUGGAAUGACUUUUCAUAGGUUUCCCAGAGACUAUGGGUUGAGGAGGAAUUGGAAGUCUGUCGGCUUAGACCUGGUGUCAUUCCAUCAUUGUUAAACUUCCCGGCUCAUCUUGGAAGAGUACGUGCCAGAAAGACCACAACCAAGCAGCCUUGAGAUCUUAGGCAGCGUCUCCCUGAGUUCUGCCGGGCCAGCUCAGCUUCCCCUCAGAAGAAGUGCCGCCACCUGCCAGAUGAAGGAGCCUUUUGAGAGGCAGCUGGCAUCGUGAUUGGACUGUACUUUGGUCUGUUCCAAUCCAGCUUCAGCUCCAGAGACGGCAGGCGGGACGAGUCAACGGAGGCCGGGUGGACGAAGACCAAAGAACUACAGACUCUUCACAACCUGCUCAAACUCUUGGUACAGGACCUCACCACACGAGUCAAGAAGGUUUCUGUCUCAUUUCUACUCUGAAGCUCACCUUCUCCUGCUCAAACUGCUGACAAAUGUUUCUGCUGCUCUAAAGUCUGCUCUCCAG